CCUGGUCACCUUCAUGUACACAGUGUUUCAGAGUAAGCUUCCAGCAGUCGGAUCAUUCACCCUUUCCGGCUUUUCAUAUCCAGGCAAAACAACAGUUCCUUCAAGUCAUCAUUAUUUUGAAAUCAUGUAAGUCUGGAAUUGUCACAUUCCUCAACAUGCAAAAAGGCAGCCAC
Tupaia belangeri chinensis (Chinese tree shrew) is the source of this 173-nucleotide long non-coding RNA. RefSeq lists it as uncharacterized. NCBI's taxonomy places the organism in Eukaryota, Metazoa, Chordata, Mammalia, Scandentia, Tupaiidae. The transcript is spliced from 4 exons. The record is from RefSeq and is a predicted model, not a curated record.